Molecule: long non-coding RNA, 523 nt
Organism: Clupea harengus (Atlantic herring)
Lineage: Eukaryota; Metazoa; Chordata; Actinopteri; Clupeiformes; Clupeidae
Source: Ensembl
GGCUGCACCACAGCCGCGCUCAUACGUUCACUUUGAAUUCUUUGACUUCAGUAUAACCCAAUUCGCGCUCGACCCGGUUGUCACGACGGAAACUUCGUCGUUAAGAUGGCAACCAUGGAGGCUGAGGUAGCAGGACCCAGCCACACCCACAGUCAGUAGACGAGGUUUAGCUGACAUCCAUUGUGACAGCGAGGAGAGAGCGAUAGAGGGAGGAAGCUGCUUGUGAGCGCGACAGGAGGGAGGAUAUCAUCUUUCUGGAUUUGGAGAAGCAGUACCAGCAGCAGCAGGAACAUCAGCGGGAGGAGCGGGAGAGGUGCUGAGACGUUGAGGGGAAGGCUGGGAAGUGUUCGGGAGGCACUUGGAAACGUCUGCGGAGCAUUGCCUGAACGUUGCGGGAAGGUUUGGAGAGAGCACAGCCAUGGCCGUGCAGUUGAUGCCCGAGUCCGCUGUCUGCAUGCUUAUGGCUUCCUUUGUUUCCACUGUGAAUAAGCUGAACUGUGACACCCACGGCCAUUGUUACACA